RNAcentral lists this long non-coding RNA (464 nucleotides) under Mytilus galloprovincialis (Mediterranean mussel). The record is from RNAcentral. Lineage: Eukaryota; Metazoa; Mollusca; Bivalvia; Mytilida; Mytilidae.
AUCUUCCUAUAUCUAUGAGGGUGGUAAAGGGUUAUUUUCGUGCAACGUGAUCGCCGUUUUUUAUUUCACGUUCAACGUGUUUUUACUUUUUUAUUUGACGUUCAGUCGUGCAAGACGGGUGCCUCGUUCAACGUGUUCUGCUUAUUUAAUUUUACGUGCAUCGUGAUUUUCAAAGUCUUAUUUUGCGUGCUCGGUAUUUUUCAAAUAAAAUUCAAACACUUGGCAGGGAUCGUCAAGAAAUACUUUUUUAAAAGCCGUAAACCAAUUAUAUCAUAAAUGUAUAUACAAAAUCGGGAAUAUCAAGUAAAACAAAGAGUUAAUAUAUACAAGAAGACAGUGACUCAGUCACAAAAGGUUCAAAUAAAAGUAUUUAUUUUUCGUGCAACGUUCAUUACAGAAAUUAUUUCACGUUCAACGUGAAAUUAUGUCUUAUUUCACGUUUUUUUUCGUGCAAGCACCCCCCC